AUGCAAUUGAGAAAAUGCGAUAUCAAAGGUAUUCGUAGUUUCCUUGGUCAUGCUGGUUUCUAUAGAAGAUUUAUCAAAGACUUCUUUAAAAUUUCUAGGCCUCUUACAAAUCUUUUGCAAAAGGAUAUUCCUUUUGUUUUUUAUGAUGAUUGUGUAGAAGCCUUCGAAACACUCAAGAAAGCCUUAAUUUCUGCACCUGUUGUUCAACCACCUGAUUGGAACUUGCCUUUUGAAAUUAUGUGUGAUGCUAGUGAUUAUGUUGUUGGUGCUGUUUUAGGACAAAGAGUUGAUAAGAAAUUGAAUGUUAUUCACUAUGCAAGUAAAACUCUAGACAGUGCACAAAGAAAUUAUGCUACCACUAAAAAAGAAUUUCUAGCGGUUGUGUUUGCUUGUGAUAAAUUUAGAUCCUAUAUUGUGGACUCAAAAGUAAUAGUUCACAUUGAUCAUGCCGCAAUAAAAUAUCUUAUGGAAAAGAAAGAUGCUAAACCUAGGCUCAUUAGAUGGGUUCUGUUCCUACAAGAAUUUGAUUUGCAUAUUAUUGAUAGGAAAGGAGUUGAGAACCCCAUAGCUGAUAACUUGUCUAGGUUGGAGAAUGUUCUUGAUGACCCACUACCUAUUGAUGAUAGUUUUCCUGAUGAGCAAUUAGCUGCAAUAAAUGUUUCUAAUAGCACACCUAGGUAUGCUGACUAUACUAAUUAUAUUGUUGCUAAAUAUAUACCUCCUAGCUUCACAUACCAACAAAACAAAAAAAUUCUUUUAUGA
This 762-nucleotide ribosomal RNA is filed under the name Triticum aestivum (bread wheat). RNAcentral describes it as "partial small subunit ribosomal RNA". Lineage: Eukaryota; Viridiplantae; Streptophyta; Magnoliopsida; Poales; Poaceae. The record is from RNAcentral.